GAGUCCUUAGUGGGGUUUUAAGCAUAAUAAGACAUUUAAUUAAAUCAAAACAAAAAGAAAAUUAGAUAAUCGAUCCUUAAUAGAGAGUUUUGGCAACCGAUCGUAGAGGAAGUUUUUAAUACACGUGUCAAGCAAACUGUGAAUUAUGAAUCCUUUUUUCCUUUUUUAUUUUCUUUCUCUCCUCUUCUCUCGCGUUCUCCGUCUGUCGUCCCGUCUGUAGAUUCAACGGUGAAGUUCAGUUCCUCGUGACGAACAAGAAUCAACCGUGGCUAAACAAAUUUAAGGAGAUACUGAAGAAUCUCUCGAACUACGAGCUCAUUUAAAUCGAUGAAGAAGUUGAAACGCACUGUUUCAGCAGCGUCACCGUCGGUCUCACUCGCCACCAAAAUUCCUUAGAGAAAACGUCGCCGUGAGGCCCGUGACUAUGAGGAGUAAUCAGCGGCGGAGGCCACGGAUGCUGAUUUUGGCGAGGGGGAGAUCGCGGGUGUUCACGAACGCCGGCGCGAUCGCCAGAGCGGCGAAGUAAUUCGGAUUCAAAGUCGUGGUGGCGGAAGCAAAUUCAGACGUAGCAGUUUCGCGCGAACGGUUAAUUUGUGCGAUGUCAUGCUUGGCGUUCACGGCGCGGAGCUUACGAACAUGGUGUUCGCGACACAAUAGAUCAUAUGUUCACAAGAAGAGGAACAGAAGAAUGAGGGAGAAGCAAGAGUUAUUGCGUGGUGUGAAUGCUUUCGCAGCAAAUAUGUUUACGGUAUUAUCUCAUCUGUGUGUUCUGUUUUUUUUAUCUUGCCUCAUCUGUUGUUUGUUUCUGUUAUGCAUUUGUUGCCCCUCCUCUUUCAUUAUUUGUAGAAAAAUUGGUUUGCUUUACAGAUUGAGCUUCUUGAAAAAGGUACAUACAAAUUUAGUGUUUCUUGCUUUGCUUCUCCCAUAAGCUGAAACUAUGUCCUAUAGGCCACUGCUGGUUCUUCUUAUGCUCAUAGUAUUAGCUUCUUUAGUUAGUAGAAUGUUCUUUGUAAAUAAAUUAGAAGGUGAUAAUUGUUAGUUGUUCCUCUUUAUGAAUAAGAUUGCUAGAGGCCUUUGAAUCUCUGUUAAUGGAUUCCAUUAAAGCUGAGCAUGUUGUAACAUUGUUGUGUGUGUAUUUAGCUGAUGAUUGAGUGGAAACAUGAGCUUGAUGCUGUGGAGAACACUGAGAGGAGAAACUGCUAAAGAAAAGAAGAUUGUAGCCACUUUUAACCAGUGUGAUAGCUAGGUAUUUUACUCCUCUCUUCAACUUAUGCAGGAAGAAAACACAAUCCCUUUUCCUUUUAUUGCAAGUUCUUGGCUUUGCUUUCUGUUUGGGUGUGAAACAUAUUAGUAAUGAGAACGUUUGUGUACUUGUUGUUUGAAUUUAUAAAUAAGGUUGCAAAUUGUUAUGUA
Long non-coding RNA from Brassica rapa (field mustard), 1413 nucleotides. RefSeq lists it as uncharacterized. The record is from RefSeq and is a predicted model, not a curated record. Lineage: Eukaryota; Viridiplantae; Streptophyta; Magnoliopsida; Brassicales; Brassicaceae.